UACGGAGGAUGCAAGCGUUAUCCGGAAUGAUUGGGCGUAAAGCGUCCGCAGGUGGCAAUGUAAGUCUGCUGUUAAAGAGUCUAGCUCAACUAGAUAAAAGCAGUGGAAACUACAUAGCUAGAGUACGUUCGGGGCAGAGGGAAUUCCUGGUGUAGCGGUGAAAUGCGUAGAGGUCAGGAAGAACACCGGUGGCGAAGGCGCUCUGCUAGGCCGUAACUGACACUGAGGGACGAAAGCUAGGGGAGCGAAUGGG
Molecule: ribosomal RNA, 253 nt
Filed under: uncultured bacterium
Lineage: Bacteria
Description: partial 16S ribosomal RNA
Rfam family: Bacterial small subunit ribosomal RNA
Source: RNAcentral